RNAcentral lists this ribosomal RNA (640 nucleotides) under uncultured archaeon. Its description in RNAcentral is "bacterial SSU rRNA". It matches the Rfam family "Archaeal small subunit ribosomal RNA", at positions 169 to 807 of the family's 1478-position model. The record is from RNAcentral.
ACUGGAAGGUCCUCAGGCCGAAAGGGGCUCUGCCCGCCCGAGGAUGGGCCGGCGGCCGAUUAGGUAGUUGGUGGGGUAACGGCCCACCAAGCCGAAGAUCGGUACGGGCCAUGAGAGUGGGAGCCCGGAGAUGGACACUGAGACACGGGUCCAGGCCCUACGGGGCGCAGCAGGCGCGAAACCUCCGCAAUGCGGGCAACCGCGACGGGGGGACCCCCAGUGCCGUGGCAACGCCACGGCUUUUCCGGAGUGUAAAAAGCUCCGGGAAUAAGGGCUGGGCAAGGCCGGUGGCAGCCGCCGCGGUAAUACCGGCGGCCCGAGUGGUGGCCGCUAUUAUUGGGCCUAAAGCGUCCGUAGCCGGGCCCGUAAGUCCCUGGCGAAAUCCCACGGCUCAACCGUGGGGCUUGCUGGGGAUACUGCGGGCCUUGGGACCGGGAGAGGCCGGGGGUACCCCUGGGGUAGGGGUGAAAUCCUAUAAUCCCAGGGGGACCGCCAGUGGCGAAGGCGCCCGGCUGGAACGGGUCCGACGGUGAGGGACGAAGGCCAGGGGAGCGAACCGGAUUAGAUACCCGGGUAGUCCUGGCUGUAAAGGAUGCGGGCUAGGUGUCGGGCGAGCUUCGAGCUCGCCCGGUGCCGAAGG